RNAcentral lists this transfer RNA (69 nucleotides) under Marmota monax (woodchuck). RNAcentral describes it as "tRNA.Ser". The record is from RNAcentral. Lineage: Eukaryota; Metazoa; Chordata; Mammalia; Rodentia; Sciuridae.
GGUUGUGGCUCAGUGGUAGAGCACUCGCCUUGAGCAUGCAUGAGGCACUGGGUUCAAUCUUCAGCACCA